Molecule: ribosomal RNA, 468 nt
Filed under: uncultured bacterium
Lineage: Bacteria
Description: partial 16S ribosomal RNA
Rfam family: Bacterial small subunit ribosomal RNA
Source: RNAcentral
GACGAACGCUGGCGGCGUGCUUAACACAUGCAAGUCGAACGGAAAGGCCCUGCUUUUGUGGGGUGCUCGAGUGGCGAACGGGUGAGUAACACGUGAGUAACCUGCCCUUGACUUUGGGAUAACUUCAGGAAACUGGGGCUAAUACCGGAUAGGAGCUCCUGCUGCAUGGUGGGGGUUGGAAAGUUUCGGCGGUUGGGGAUGGACUCGCGGCUUAUCAGCUUGUUGGUGGGGUAGGGGCUUACCAAGGCUUUGACGGGUAGCCGGCCUGAGAGGGUGACCGGCGACAAUGGGACUGAGAUACGGACCAGACGCCUACGGGAGGCAGCAGGGGGGAAUAUUGCACAAUGGGCGGAAGCCUGAUGCAGCAACGCCGGGUGCGGGAUGACGGCCUUCGGGUUGUAAACCGCUUUCGCCUGUGACGAAGCGUGAGUGACGGUAAUGGGUAAAGAAGCACCGGCUAACUACGUG